GGAAGUAAAAGUGUAACAAGGUCUCCGUAGGUGAACCUGCGGAGGGAUCAUCACAGAGUUCAUGCCCUACCGGGUAGAUCUCCCACCCUAUGUUAUUAUUACUUUGUUGCUUUGGCGGGCCGUUAGGCUCCGGCCCGACUACCGGCCCCGGCUGGUAAGCGCCCGCCAGAGGACCCAAAACCCUGAAUAUUAGUGUCGUCUGAGUACUAUAUAAUAGUUAAAACUUUCAACAACGGAUCUCUUGGUUCUG
Molecule: unclassified non-coding RNA, 250 nt
Filed under: plant metagenome
Description: partial contains small subunit ribosomal RNA, internal transcribed spacer 1, and 5.8S ribosomal RNA
Rfam family: Eukaryotic small subunit ribosomal RNA (bases 1-53)
Source: RNAcentral